Solanum tuberosum (potato) is the source of this 2281-nucleotide long non-coding RNA. RefSeq lists it as uncharacterized. The transcript has 2 exons. NCBI's taxonomy places the organism in Eukaryota, Viridiplantae, Streptophyta, Magnoliopsida, Solanales, Solanaceae. The record is from RefSeq and is a predicted model, not a curated record.
UCCUCUCCCCUCUCUAAGCGCCGCCCUCCAUCUCUCCAGAUCGCCGCCUCCGGCGAGAAUCGCCAGCCGGCAAAGAGGAGACAGUCGCCUCUUCUCUUCUGCUCCGCCUCUCUUCUCUUCUCCUCUCUUCCCGCCAGAUGGAGCAACCAGCAGCUUCAGCCGGUGACAACAGCAGCUAGCGAACGGCGAGGACCUCCGACCAGCAGCCUGGAAAAGCGAGCAGCAGUAGCCGACGGAAACAGCAGCAUGCCUUUCCCCUCUCCGGCGGGUUCGAGGUAACCAGCAGCCAGUCAAGACCACUAACCUACUUCGACAAAAUCCCGGUGAAAUCCAUCGGAAACAACAACAACAAAAGCACUGCAGCGGAUUCCGGUGGAGCUUUUGAAGAUUUCGAGUUAAUUAAAAGAUGGAUCUUAACAGAUCCAUCCAGGUUUGAACAAAAGUUCAAGAUAUGGAGAGUCGCCAUGAGUGGGAAACAAUAGACGAAUCGAAUUCAUCUAAUUUAUGUCUUUGUAUAAGUUUUAACUUUAUUAUCGUUGUGUAAUAAUUUGUAUAACUCUCAACUCUCUCUAUAUAUGAAUAACUUGGGGAUCGUCUAAGGGGGAGGGGGAUAUACGUGCUAAUUGUUUCUUUUCAUUUCUAGUCUAGUUUAUUUUUUGCUAUGUGUGAUUGCUAAAACAUGUCUACGUUGCUUAAAUUGUAAACCUUGCAAGCAUAUUAGAAUAUAUCUAAAUAUUGGCUUAAAAUCAACCUUUGUUUAUAAUCCUAUCAGAUUAAUCAACUUAUCAUGAAUAUAUGUUUAAAUUUGCUUGAUCUUGAAUUGGUAGAAUCUUGUCUCAACACUAAUGUUGUUAAAAUUUGGAAAGUGAUUAAUGACAUUCAGACAUCAUGCCUCUAGGAUUUUAAUAUAAUAAAUUCGAGUAAGUCAGUUGGUUUAUUUAUUUAGAAGUCAUGUCUUUAGGUCUAGAUUAACAUCAUGUCAAUAAAAUAUGGCUAGAUACAUAAAUUCAGUUUGCCAUAAAGUUUUGCCUAAAGUGUUUAAUAAUCCGUUUAAAUAAAUAUCAUGCCUAUAGGAUUUAAUAACUUGCUUAAAUGAAAUAGAAUGUCAUGCCUAUAUCUUGAUACUAUUCCAGCAUGUUUAUACUUAGAAAUCAUGCCUAUAGGUUUUACAUAUUUUUAAAUAUAUUAUUUGGGUGUAGAAAUUAAGCAUAUAGGUUUCAAGUGACUUUUUAGUUUUAUUUGGAAAUCAUGCCUUCGGAUUAAUAAUUAAUUGUUGUAGAAAUUAAUCGAAUGUCAAAAAAAAAAAAUAUAUAAUUUCUCAGCACGUUAAACAAAUGAAAUAAUUUGCUGCAUAUUCCUGCUCCUUGUUUAAAUAAUUUUCUGCAUUGCAACUAUAUUCUGCCAUUUAAAAUCAAUUCAUAAACUAUUUUCCAGCAUGUUUUUAAACUAAAACUUGAUGUGCAUAUUUGCUGAACGGCUAAAUCAUGCCCGGAAUUAAUUAUUUUCUGCAUGUUGAACAUGUCCUGCAAAUUUAAAAUAAAUCAUUUUCUGCAUUUUUUAAUUUGUCCAUGUUGAGAAUAAUUACCAUUAUCUGCAUGUUGCUUUGCCAUUUAAAUUUGGCUCCUAAUUAAUUUCUGUAUUUAAUAAAUUGAUUGCUAUUUAAAAAUAAAUUUAGUUCGACCUGCUACUGCUCUAAAAAACGCCCGGAUCUGUAAUAAUUUUUGUGCCACUUUUAAAAUCAGUUUAUACCUAAAAUCUGCCUUAUGUCAUAACUAAUUGCCUUUUCAUUAAUUAAUUGUUAUAUUGUUAUGUUGCUUACUGCCUGUUUUAUAUGUGCACACACUCGCAUGCGAUCCUUUCACCUUAUUUGUGUUUGUCAGCAUGCUUAAUAAUCUAGAGGCCAAUUUGAGAUUUUAUGUGCUAAGUGUUGUCCUAUUUGUUUGACUUGGUGUCUAGGUGGGCCUAUUAUAUUUUUUAGUCUAUACCCACCCUAAUAGUAGUCCAAUGCCUCUUGGACCUUAAGCGGGAACGAUAGGCACUUUGUAGAGACGUUAAGCAUGCGGUGGUAGGGUAGGGGUAGUUUAGGCCCUAUGGAGAUGAUGACAUCGACUCGGUCUAAAUGACAAACUUUGGUUUUGUCUGUCCCUACGAGAAACCGACCGAAAUAAAGAAAAGUCGAGUGCUGAUCCUAAAGUCCUUCAGAGUCUCCCUUUCCUUUUCUCCCUUUACUUGUUAUAAUUAUUUGGGGUAGUUUAAUAAAAAAUAAAAAGUGUUUAUUCUA